This 1001-nucleotide ribosomal RNA is filed under the name Candidatus Saccharimonadota bacterium. RNAcentral describes it as "partial 23S ribosomal RNA". It matches the Rfam family "Bacterial large subunit ribosomal RNA", at positions 1929 to 2925 of the family's 2925-position model. The record is from RNAcentral. Lineage: Bacteria; Candidatus Saccharimonadota.
GGCGGCGGUAACUAUAACCGUCCUAAGGUAGCGAAAUUCCUUGUCUGGUAAGUUCAGACCCGCACGAAUGGAGUAAUCAUUUGGGCACUGUCUCAGCAAAGGACUCGGUGAAAGUGCAUUGGCGGUAAAGAUGCCGUCUGUCCGUACCAGGACGAAAAGACCCCAUGGAGCUUUACUACAGUUUUACAUUGUUUAAGGUUGCAUCAUGUGUAGCAUAGGUGGGAGACUUUGAAGCAGAUACGCUAGUAUUUGUGGAGUCGCCGGUGAAAUACCACCCUUGAUGUGAUUUUGAUCUUACGCUGACCGUUAUCCGGUUAGCGGACCGUGUAUGAUGGGUAGUUUAACUGGGGCGGUUGCCUCCUAAAGAGUAGCGGAGGCGUUCAAAGGUUGGCUAGCUUCGGAUGGAAAUCGAAGUGAUAGUGUAUACGCAUAAGCCAGCUUGACUGUGAGGGUUACAACCCAAUCAGAGACGAAAGUCGGAGUAAGUGAUCCGCUGUACGAACAUUUGUUCAUGAAUGUGGGAUCGACAGCGCAAACGGAUAAAAGUUACCCUGGGGAUAACAGGCUUAUAGCGCCCAAUAGUUCACAUAGACGGCGCUGUUUGGCACCUCGAUGUCGGCUCAUCUCAUCCUGGGGCUGGAGCAGGUCCCAAGGGUCCGGCUGUUCGCCGGUUAAAGAGGUACGCGAGCUGGGUUCAGAACGUCGUGAGACAGUUCGGUUUAUAUCCGGUAUGGACGUCAGGAAAUUUGAGAGGAUUUGCCCCUAGUACGAGAGGACCGGGGUGAACGUACCUCUGGUGUAUCGAUUGUGGCCACCUGCUGCAUCGUCGAGUAGCUAAGUACGGACUAGAUAAGCGCUGAAAGCAUAUUAAGCGCGAAACUAACCUCAAGAUUAGAUUUCCCUAUGAGGACACAGAAAGACUAUCUGUUUGAUAGGCGCAAGGUGGAAGUGCAGUAAUGUAUGGAGCUGAAGCGUACUAAUAGUCCCAUCGCCUUUUUAUG